UAAGGUGGUUAUAGCACGAGGGAUCCACCUCUUCCCAUUCCGAACAGAGAAGUUAAGCCUCGUCACGCCGAUGGUACUGCGAUUUAGUGGGAGAGUAGGUAGCUGCCGUUU
This 111-nucleotide ribosomal RNA is filed under the name Tannerella sp. The record is from RNAcentral. Lineage: Bacteria; Pseudomonadati; Bacteroidota; Bacteroidia; Bacteroidales; Tannerellaceae.